This 500-nucleotide ribosomal RNA is filed under the name uncultured bacterium. RNAcentral's name for it is "partial 16S ribosomal RNA". It matches the Rfam family "Bacterial small subunit ribosomal RNA", at positions 30 to 523 of the family's 1533-position model. The record is from RNAcentral.
AUUGAACGCUGGCGGCAUGCCUUACACAUGCAAGUCGAACGGCAGCACGGGAGCAAUCCUGGUGGCGAGUGGCGAACGGGUGAGUAAUAUAUCGGAACGUGCCCAGUCGUGGGGGAUAACGUAGCGAAAGCUACGCUAAUACCGCAUACGAUCUAUGGAUGAAAGCGGGGGAUCGCAAGACAAUGCGCGAUUGGAGCGGCCGAUAUCAGAUUAGGUAGUUGGUGAGGUAAAGGCUCACCAAGCCGACGAUCUGUAGCUGGUCUGAGAGGACGACCAGCCACACUGGGACUGAGACACGGCCCAGACUCCUACGGGAGGCAGCAGUGGGGAAUUUUGGACAAUGGGCGCAAGCCUGAUCCAGCAAUGCCGCGUGCAGGAUGAAGGCCUUCGGGUUGUAAACUGCUUUUGUACGGAACGAAACGGCGAGCUCUAAUACAGUUUGCUAAUGACGGUACCGUAAGAAUAAGCACCGGCUAACUACGUGCCAGCCGCCGCCGUAA